AAGAAACCCUCACCCAACCCAGACCCACAGCCACCCCCCACACCCCUCUCACCAGAUACAACAGAUUCCCACUAACAUCUCACACCUACCACUCUUUCAUACCCCAUCACCUAAUACUCAAUUUUCUACUCUCCCAAAACAAAACCAACUCGAUAAUAAUCCAACCCAAACACACUACCAACCCAUCUCCUCACACAUGUCACAGUCACUCAACCCACGCGCGACACAUUAACCCCGAC
This is a non-coding RNA of Pelobates cultripes (western spadefoot toad), 239 nucleotides long. Lineage: Eukaryota; Metazoa; Chordata; Amphibia; Anura; Pelobatidae. The record is from the annotation of a GenBank genome assembly.